Seriola dumerili (greater amberjack) is the source of this 268-nucleotide long non-coding RNA. RefSeq lists it as uncharacterized. The transcript is spliced from 4 exons. The record is from RefSeq and is a predicted model, not a curated record. Lineage: Eukaryota; Metazoa; Chordata; Actinopteri; Carangiformes; Carangidae.
CCAGGACAAUGCGAAUGAUUUAAAUUCUCUCUCUCAUUUUCAUUUACUCAUAACUUAAGAUGGCUGAUGCACAAAAAAGAAAAAGGGAAAAAACUCCAGAGAGCGAAAAUGGUAUCAAAGAGAAUUCUUUAACAAUUAUUAAAAAAAUGAUGGAACUGAGUGAAAAGACUCAGGAAAAUACUUCAAUGUUGGUGGAUGAGAUUCUUCACAGCAUCUUCUUUUUGGAAGUGAUCAAUGAUAGACAGUUUUCCCCAAAAAAUAUUGUGAG